Molecule: long non-coding RNA, 1158 nt
Organism: Cyprinus carpio carpio
Lineage: Eukaryota; Metazoa; Chordata; Actinopteri; Cypriniformes; Cyprinidae
Source: Ensembl
UAGAUAGUAAAACAUUAUUUAUUCCUUUUAUAAAUCAUUUUGCUGGCUGAAGUAAGUUUUUACUUUAUAAAGUAAAUCCAAUUACUUACCUAAGGGGACAUCCCAGAUUGGAUUUUCCUCUUCUGAUGAAUCAAGGCUUUCAUCACGUGCACAAUCUUCUAAAUCCAUGUUUAUUUGCACGUUUGAGUUGUCUGGGGUUGUAGCAUGUUUGGUCCAAGCUCCAUCACGAAAAAACAUUUGUCACGUCUGUAAGUUACACAACAUCGUUUGAAAACUUUUGUUUCCAGCCAAUGUAACGUUAUGUGUGCAUGUAUUAAAGCGUUUUUCAUUCAAUGUUACAGGAAGCUGUAAGGCGCCUUCACAAUUCGGAAAACAACCCACAUAAAUAUGAUCCACAAACUGGGUAAGACUGCUGUUUUUCUGCUAUGUUUAUUUGGCCUUUGUGGGCCAUGCUGUUUAUGGGGUUUUACAUAUUCCUUUUAAAUGUAUUUAAUGACACACUUCUCUCUUUCCACACAGAAUAAGUUUGCCUCGUAACCAAGCAGUCAUGACUUAUCUGCUAGAGGAAUUGAAAACAACUUUUGCAGAUGCAGACCCUGAGUGUAUACAAGGUAAUUUUAAAAUGUUUAACAAUUUUAAUGUCCAUAAUUUUAGUCUCUUAUAUUUUGUCCAUCUUAUGAUUUCAAUAGUGUAGUUUCUGUCACUUAUCUGAAUUUUCUUUUAUUCAGCGUGUUGCAAGACAUACUUUGAAACACUUCGGAGAAAGUACAAUUUGUCUCAGCCAGAAAAGUCCCAGCUAAGAGAUGCCAUUAAAACAGGAGCUAAAAACCGACAAAGGAAAAGACGGUUGCUGGAUUCCAGGUCCAAGGUUGUUCAAACCGAUGCAGAGAGAGAGCUUUGGCAGACUGCAACAGUGGAGCUGAUGUCUGACGAGGAGGAUGCCAUUGUUGAUGGAAGGCCAGUGUGGAUUGUGAGGUCUCCAUCUCACAGGAACCCACAAUUGUCAGAACUUUGUGAGGAGCUUCAGCGCAGAUUGGAGGCAGACAUGCGCUACACUAUUUUGCAUCAUCAGCGUGUUAAGGCUGAUGGAAAUGGACAUGAUGGACCUUCCUUUCUUCAACUUUAACUAAACUGCACUGGUUUUUGCAAUUUUUAAUA